Molecule: ribosomal RNA, 442 nt
Filed under: Leifsonia sp. OKI-4
Lineage: Bacteria; Bacillati; Actinomycetota; Actinomycetes; Micrococcales; Microbacteriaceae
Also listed under: 1 other name
Description: bacterial SSU rRNA
Rfam family: Bacterial small subunit ribosomal RNA
Source: RNAcentral
CGAACGCUGGCGGCGUGCUUAACACAUGCAAGUCGAACGAUGAACCAGGAGCUUGCUCUUGGGAAUUAGUGGCGAACGGGUGAGUAACACGUGAGUAACCUGCCCUUGACUCUGGGAUAACCUCCGGAAACGGAAGCUAAUACCGGAUACGAACUGCGGAGGCAUCUCCAGCAGUUGGAAAGAACUUCGGUCAAGGAUGGACUCGCGGCCUAUCAGGUAGUUGGUGAGGUAAAGGCUCACCAAGCCUACGACGGGUAGCCGGCCUGAGAGGGGACCGGCCACACUGGGACUGAGACACGGCCCAGACUCCUACGGGAGGCAGCAGUGGGGAAUAUUGCACAAUGGGCGAAAGCCUGAUGCAGCAACGCCGCGUGAGGGAUGACGGCCUUCGGGUUGUAAACCUCUUUUAGUAGGGAAGAAGCGAAAGUGACGGUACCUGCAG